UAAAGAAUUCAUGCCUACUUUCCCUGCACAGCAUGCACAAGAUAGGCGUGUGCGAAGAGUAAUGAAGAGUCCAGAUCCUCUUGAGGAGCAGCGAAGAAAGGAACUGAAGCAAGGGGUGUUGGGAACUGGUGGAUUGUUUGGCUAAGAUAAGUGAAUAGUGCUCAGUAACUGUUUGAGUUUUGCUUUCUGUAAUACUCAUGGGUUGACGUGGUUUGAGGCUAGAGCAAUGCACUUAUAGGAAGUUGCAAAAAUUGUUUGCUAGACGAUCAGUUCAGCUGUUUUUUAGCAGGCUUAUCUGACAAUUAGAUCAAGAAACAAUUCUUUUGGCUAUGCGUUAUCAGAUCUGUUGCAGGUUGACCUACUUGGCUCUGGUGUCUUGUCAAAAUCUCUGGGCCUGCUUGCAUGGCAUGGGUGGCAUAGUGAGCUUACCUGUUAAGGAACAGUUUCAAUUGAAACUCGUGUGUGUAACAUAUUACCCAUUGGCAGUGUAAACAAUGAUCUUGAAAUUGAUUUUGUUAAAACAUAUGGAUUGGUUUCGUAUUUCUAGUAUGCCGAUUUUAAUUUUCAUAUUCUGUUUGCAAGAAAUGGUGGUGUAAAGCUGAUGGGGAAUUCUUAGCUUUUUCAUUGAUGAAGAAUUUCAAUGAAACUAUAGCACAUAUGAAGUAUCAAGGAAAGCAGGUUGAGGAGCUUAUCUACAACCUGGCAUACAUAGAAUUUCAAAUUUAUUUUCCAUACUUCAGAUAUCGUAUUCUCUGCUCAAGCCAGUAAAGGUACUUACUGCCUCAUCUGCUAGAGAUGUACAAAUUUUAAGUUUUGAUAUCUUUUGCAUUCUUUUUUAGAUGGGGGAUUCUUAUUUUGAGCCUAUAAUUGGUCUGGCUGCAUUGAUUUUUGAUACUUCCUUUCAAAUCUUCUGUAUGUGGAAAGAUGACAAAUUGUUUUGCUGUUACCAUCUUCCUCCUACAUUCUUUAAGAGGCAAACUGGGUAUUUCUUGGUUUGUUGCAACAUGGAUUUCUGUAAGUUGAUUAAUACAAGGAGGAGCUAAGUGUUAUAUCUCCACCCCUGUUGAUUAAUUUUUAUUUUGUGUUCUGGUGGCAUUAUAAACCCUAUUUGGUUUGUAAUCCAAACUGCAAAGCUGUCAUUCUUUCAACUGUCCCUCUGCAAAAGAGAUGUAUAAACUCUUGGCCUUGAAUCUUUGCAACUGGGAGAAGUCUUGACAUUUUCAUUUGUUUAAUUUUAGUAACUUGCAUUGAGUCUUGAAAUUUCACUUAGCGACUCUUCUCUUUCUUGUAAUGAUAUUUAUUUUUGAUGGAGGGUGUGGUGAAGACCCUGAUUGUGACACUCAACUUUUUUUUAAAACCAUAACCCCCACCCACUCCCUCGAAUUGUUCAGACCAGAAAGAGCAGGUGAACCUGGUUGCAAAUGCCUUCCAGAAGGGGCUGGAAAUAGAAGAGUAAAGGCUUGUAACCACGUUUGGUCAUAUUUUUUCCUAUGAAUUGGGGUUUGAGGCAGGAACAUUAGAUUCAUAAGCCUGGAAGCUCAUCUACUAGCAGCAGGGAAGUGGGUGGGACAUAUUUCAAGGAAAUAGAUCUGUAACCAGUCCAGACUAGGGAUAAAUUGAUAGUUUUGUAGCUACUUGAAGUGAUUCUGUUAUUCUGGAAUGUUUUAAGGGCUAUGAAAUGGGAGAUGGAUGUUCAACAGUGGUGCUUGAAAGACAUGCAAAUAAAUAGCAGUUAAAAUAUUUUACUGGGUACUGUUACACUUGGUCUUUGAUAGUCAUCUCUACUUGAUUUUGUGGAGGUUCUUUCUUGCAUGUUUUGGUCACUGUUGUCUGCAGAAGUUCAGAAUUAGAGAAGGAGAAGAAAGGAGAGCUGUAGAGAGGCAAGAUGAAUAUGGCUGAUAGCACACACUCCUUGAAGAGAAAAAAUCGUAUGUUACUUGUAUUAUAAACCGUCUUGAUUCUCUUUUUGAAUAUGAUUGUAACUAAAUCACCUUUCAUAUUUCGUCAGUAUCUAAUGUCAUGCAGUGUUGUGUUGCAUCUUAGGACGGAGUUGGUAUCGAUCAUAAAUGUUGCACCAAGUUAACAGAAUGUAGAACACAUUUGCAGUGUUGUGCUUCAAGUCUCUUUAUGUAGUGGCUGUUGCUGUUGUCAACCCACGCUUCACACUUCUGACCUACUGUUAAGUAAUCCAUAUUUUAUUUAACCAAAACUUGAACCUAUUUCUGCUAGUACCAUCUUGUAAAUUAGGCAGUAAACAUUGAUAACAGAAGCAGUUUAGUCGAGAUGAAGACGACGUUAUCUGUGUGGCAGGUGAAAAAAAACAAAAAACACAUAUUACCUUGAAUUACUCCUUGUGCGUUUUAUGAAGGAGAUGAUGCAUAUGUCUAAAAGAUUAUCAUAUAAAAGAGGGUUUAUGAAGGAGAUGAUGCAUGGCUAGAAGAUUAUCAUAUAAAGGGUAGCAUGGCCAAUGCUGCUUGACAGGUGGAGAAAUGUACAAAGUACACGUAGAAUGGACAUCAUUAUCUUCAAAUGUCAUAUUGAAUUUUUUACGAAUAUCAUUUUUUUUUUCAAAUUUAUAUUUAUCAAAUUUUAUAUAAAAACAAGUUUUACUUCUUC
RNAcentral lists this unclassified non-coding RNA (2616 nucleotides) under Hevea brasiliensis (rubber tree). The record is from RNAcentral. Lineage: Eukaryota; Viridiplantae; Streptophyta; Magnoliopsida; Malpighiales; Euphorbiaceae.